GCGGGAAUGCUGGAAUUGGCAGACAGGCAAGACUAAGGAUCUUGUGUGAGUUUCACGUAGGGGUUCAAGUCCCCUUUCCCGCA
This 83-nucleotide transfer RNA is filed under the name Lachnospiraceae bacterium. RNAcentral describes it as "tRNA-Leu". It matches the Rfam family "tRNA". From Rfam's summary of the family: Transfer RNA (tRNA) molecules are approximately 80 nucleotides in length. The record is from RNAcentral. RNAcentral also lists the same sequence under 1 other name. Lineage: Bacteria; Bacillati; Bacillota; Clostridia; Lachnospirales; Lachnospiraceae.